CAUAGCGACUAUCGUGGCAUAUCAAUAAGCGGAGGAAAAGAAACUAACAAGGAUUCCCUUAGUAACGGCGAGUGAAGCGGGAAGAGCUCAAAUUUGAAAUCUUCAAGGUUCUACCCUGACGAAUUGUAGUUUAUAGAAGUGUUUUCUGUUAGUGGAGUGGCAAAAGUUCUUUGGAAUAGGACAUCAUAGAGGGUGAGAAUCCCGUAUUUGGUCAUUCCUCCUAGCGUUGUGAUACACUUUCAACGAGUCGGAUUGUUUGGGAAUGCAGUCCAAAAUGGGUGGUAAAUUUCAUCUAAAGCUAAAUAUUGGCGAGAGACCGAUAGCGAACAAGUACCGUGAGGGAAAGAUGAAAAGAACUUUGAAAAGAGAGUUAAACAGUACGUGAAAUUGUCAAAAGGGAAGCGUUUGACACCAGUGUUGUUUUUCCGAAAAUCAAUUACGAAUGUUUUGUUUUGAGGAGUUAUGACUUCAUCGGCUUGCUCCUUUCUUUAUGAAACUUUCUUAAUGCACUUUUCGGUUAACAAGUCAACAUCAAUUUCUUUUGUUGUAAAAGGGUAUGAGGAAGGUGGCUUUCUUUUCGGAGAAAGUGUUUAUAGCCUUGUGCCUCUGCAAUCGGAGAGAUUGAGGUCUGCAGCGUAGAUCCUUCGGGGUUAGAUAGCGUUUGUGCUAAGUUAUAGCUUUUCAUAGACAACUUGUUGACUAUGUUUAGUCUUGUAGCUUACUCGCUUACUGCUAUUUUACCUACGCUUAGGAUGUUGACGAGACUGUCGAUCUC
Molecule: ribosomal RNA, 775 nt
Filed under: uncultured Neocallimastigales
Lineage: Eukaryota; Fungi; Neocallimastigomycota; Neocallimastigomycetes; Neocallimastigales
Description: partial large subunit ribosomal RNA
Rfam family: Eukaryotic large subunit ribosomal RNA
Source: RNAcentral